AAGACUAUACUGUCAGGGCUCAUUUCUAUAGUUUGUUACUAGCACAGUUUCUCUGAACAUGUAAAGCAAAAAAAAAAAAAAAAAAAAAAAAAAAUUUCACAUAUCAGCCAAUGGCUUUUUUUUUUUUUUGA
This 131-nucleotide small nucleolar RNA is filed under the name Pongo abelii (Sumatran orangutan). Its description in RNAcentral is "Small nucleolar RNA U3 (ENSPPYG00000037228.1)". It matches the Rfam family "Small nucleolar RNA U3". From Rfam's summary of the family: Small nucleolar RNAs (snoRNAs) are involved in the processing and modification of rRNA in the nucleolus. There are two main classes of snoRNAs: the box C/D class, and the box H/ACA class. The record is from Rfam by way of RNAcentral. Lineage: Eukaryota; Metazoa; Chordata; Mammalia; Primates; Hominidae.